GCUAUGGAUCCCACUGGAAUGCUAUCCUGUUUGGUUGGAGCUCUGGAAUUUAUCCUAACCUAUGGUCCUGAAAAUGAGAAGUUGUUACUAGGAUUCCAGGCUACCAGAGAGAUGAUACAUCUUCUACAGUGCUUAGCUACAAGUUGAGCUCAGAAUUCUACAGGUAAAGCACUGCUGAUUGGAGGGGCAUUAAGGAAAAUGUACUGUGAAAACCUUCAUUCUUGCUACUGGAUGUCACUCUUGCA
Grammomys surdaster is the source of this 245-nucleotide long non-coding RNA. RefSeq lists it as uncharacterized. The transcript has 3 exons. Lineage: Eukaryota; Metazoa; Chordata; Mammalia; Rodentia; Muridae. The record is from RefSeq and is a predicted model, not a curated record.